GUGGGGAAUAUUGCACAAUGGGGGAAACCCUGAUGCAGCAACGCCGCGUGAGUGAUGACGGUCUUCGGAUUGUAAAGCUCUGUCUUCAGGGACGAUAAUGACGGUACCUGAGGAGGAAGCCACGGCUAACUACGUGCCAGCAGCCGCGGUAAUACGUAGGUGGCAAGCGUUGUCCGGAUUUACUGGGCGUAAAGGGUGCGUAGGUGGAUAUUUAAGUGGGAUGUGAAAUACUCGGGCUUAACCUGGGUGCUGCAUUCCAAACUGGAUAUCUAGAGUGCAGGAGAGGAAAGUAGAAUUCCUAGUGUAGCGGUGAAAUGCGUAGAGAUUAGGAAGAAUACCAGUGGCGAAGGCGACUUUCUGGACUGUAACUGACACUGAGGCUCGAAAGCGUGGGGAGCAAACAGGAUUAGAUACCCUGGUAGUCC
This 425-nucleotide ribosomal RNA is filed under the name uncultured bacterium. Its description in RNAcentral is "partial 16S ribosomal RNA". It matches the Rfam family "Bacterial small subunit ribosomal RNA", at positions 354 to 796 of the family's 1533-position model. The record is from RNAcentral.